Molecule: ribosomal RNA, 496 nt
Filed under: uncultured bacterium
Lineage: Bacteria
Description: bacterial SSU rRNA
Rfam family: Bacterial small subunit ribosomal RNA
Source: RNAcentral
AUUGAACGCUGGCGGCAUGCCUUACACAUGCAAGUCGAACGGCAGCACGGGGGCAACCCUGGUGGCGAGUGGCGAACGGGUGAGUAAUACAUCGGAAUGUACCCAGUAGUGGGGGAUAACUAGUCGAAAGAUUAGCUAAUACCGCAUACGCACUAUAGUGGAAAGCGGGGGAUCGCAAGACCUCGCGCUAUUGGAGCAGCCGAUGUCCGAUUAGGUAGUUGGUGGGGUAAAGGCUCACCAAGCCAACGAUCUGUAGCUGGUCUGAGAGGACGACCAGCCACACUGGAACUGAGACACGGUCCAGACUCCUACGGGAGGCAGCAGUGGGGAAUUUUGGACAAUGGGCGCAAGCCUGAUCCAGCCAUUCCGCGUGCAGGAUGAAGGCCUUCGGUUGUAAACUGCUUUUGUUACGGAACGAAACGGACGAGCUCUAAUACAGUUUGCUAAUGACGGUACCGUAAGAAUAAGCACCGGCUAACUAACGUGCCAGCAGACC